CUGAGCACCACAUAAACUUCAGAAAUGCCUCCUGAGCUCAUCUACUACCACACUAUAAAUACCUUAAGAUAACUGAGAAUUUAUCCUUUCUUUUCAUUUUGCAAAUAUUAAACAGUUACAAUACUAUUUACUAAGCAUUGUGGUAGGUACUAAAAGAUAGCAGGCAAAACAAGAACAAGAAGAGUCUACUUUUAUUAGUUUGCACUUACCAGGAAGAUAAGAAACAUGCGCAAUUUAGUAAUGCAUUGUGUUCCAAUGUGCUCAAGGAAAAUAAAGCAGAGAAGGGAGAUAGGAAGCUUGAAGAUGUACAUGUUUAAAUAGGGUGGUCAUGCUGGGCAUGCUGGUGCACACCUGUAAUCCCAGCAGUUCUGGAGGCCAAGGCAGGAGGAUCGGGAGUUCAAAGCCAGCCUCAGCAAAUUAAUGAGGUCUUAAGCAACUCAGCAAGACCCUGUCUCUAAAUAAAAUAUUAAAAAGGGAUGAGGGUGUGGCUCAGUGGUUAAGCACCCCUGAGUUCAAUCUUCAGUACCAAAAUAAAAAUAAUUUUUAAAUAAUAAACAAGGUCUUGGUGGAAAAAAGAGGUAAGGUCUUUUUAAAUCAUCCAAUGAUCAUCUUAAAGGUUAAUGGUUCUUACCAUUGGCAUGAAUCCCUAGGUUUCAUGAUCAUGUUCAUCACCAUGAUCCGCCUUCCCUUGGGUCAUGGGAGCCCUGCCUCCUCUCUGGAUGUACCUAGAAGGGAGAGAUGCGGACCACACAGCUCUGUAUGGUAGCUCUUCCCCAAUGGGCAGGGGACCAAGUUCAUGCUCACCUCUCAACCCCAUACCUCCACUGAACUGCUUACCCCUUCACUUUUCUGGUCCUUUGGGUCUCUCCUCCAAAUCCCUGUACCUGUUUUCAUAUUGGAUUGCUAACUGACACCUAGAGAAAAAUACGGCCAGAGCUCAGGGACUGAGUGGAAAAUUCCCCCUAGUUCCACAGUGCUACUUUCUUCCUCAGUUUGCUGGUCUCUGCUCUGUUCAUCUUUUUAACCAAAUUCUAAGAAUAACUUAAUAAUAAUGGUCAGACUGGUUUACCAUUUAUUGUAUACCUAACAUGUGCCAGUUAAGCAGUGUCUAGGCAUUUCCUCACUUAAUGAUCCCCCAAAUUAUGAGGAAGGUACCAGAUCAGACUUAUCUCUCUUUGCAAAGAAGGAAAUUGAGGCGCAGAUAGCUUAAAUAUUAUGCUUAGGGCUACAAACACAACAAAUGGCACAGCCUGAUUCCAUAGCACCUCUUUAUGCUUUUUUCUAGCCAGUUGAAUUUAACUAGUAUUUUUGGUACCCUUGAAUAUAGGAUAGAUCUAAACCAUUUAAAUAUUAUUUGCAAGUACUCUCACACAGGUGGGUAGUCAACCUCUCAAGUUGUUUUCCUCCAUCCUGAUUCCAAAUGGCUUAUUUGGUGAAGAUCUAUUUUAAACUUCAAAAAUUACCACUAUUGGGGCUGGGGUUGUAGCUCAAUGGUAGAGAGUUUGUUUAGCAUGUGUGAGGCACUGGGUUCAAUCCUAAGCACCACAUAAAAAAUAAAUAAAUAAAGUUAUUGUGUCCAUCUACAACUAAAAAUUAUUUUUUUAAAAAAUUAUCAUUUUUCUCAUCAAGAAAAGAGAAGCAUUUUCCUUUGCUCUCUCUCUCUGUUCCUUGCACUUUUAAAGAAUAGUUCUUUGCCUCUUUUCAUAUUGUUUAUUUUCCUAAGAAGCCUCUCAUUCCCUGCUUUGGUAUCUAGGGCACAACUUUCAGUCACAUUCAUUUUUAGACACCGUAUUUUAUUAAUUAUUACCAUGAUAUAAAUAAACAUGUACUACUAAACAGUUCUGCUGGCAAUGAGAAGGACUUGUGAAAAUAAAUUUUAUUUGCUCUCCUGAAAAA
This 1896-nucleotide long non-coding RNA is filed under the name Marmota monax (woodchuck). The record is from RNAcentral. Lineage: Eukaryota; Metazoa; Chordata; Mammalia; Rodentia; Sciuridae.